Non-coding RNA from Dipodomys ordii (Ord's kangaroo rat), 65 nucleotides. The record is from Rfam. NCBI's taxonomy places the organism in Eukaryota, Metazoa, Chordata, Mammalia, Rodentia, Heteromyidae.
GGUGGCUCAGUGGUAGAGCAUUUGCCUUGCAUACAUGAAGCUCUGGGUUCGAUUCCUCAGCACCA